Molecule: ribosomal RNA, 471 nt
Filed under: uncultured organism
Description: partial 16S ribosomal RNA
Rfam family: Bacterial small subunit ribosomal RNA
Source: RNAcentral
CACUCCUACGGGAGGCAGCAGUGGGGAAUUUUGGACAAUUGGCGAAAGCCUGAUCCAGCCAUGCCGCGUGCAGGAUGAAGGCCUUCGGGUUGUAAACUGCUUUUGUACGGAACGAAACGGCCUUUUCUAAUAAAGAGGGCUAAUGACGGUACCGUAAGAAUAAGCACCGGCUAACUACGUGCCAGCAGCCGCGGUAAUACGUAGGGUGCAAGCGUUAAUCGGAAUUACUGGGCGUAAAGCGUGCGCAGGCGGUUAUGUAAGACAGUUGUGAAAUCCCCGGGCUCAACCUGGGAACUGCAUCUGUGACUGCAUAGCUAGAGUACGGUAGAGGGGGAUGGAAUUCCGCGUGUAGCAGUGAAAUGCGUAGAUAUGCGGAGGAACACCGAUGGCGAAGGCAAUCCCCUGGACCUGUACUGACGCUCAUGCACGAAAGCGUGGGGAGCAAACAGGAUUAGAUACCCUUGUAGUCCC